AGUAAAUAGAUACCCGGGUAGUCCACGCCGUAAACGAUGAGUACUAGGUGUAGGAGGUAUCGACUCCUUCUGUGCCGCAGUUAAACACAAUAAGUACUCCGCCUGGGAAGUACGGUCGCAAGAUUAAAACUCAAAGGAAUUGACGGGGGCCCGCACAAGCAGCGGAGCAUGUGGUUUAAAUUCGAAGCAACGCGAAGAACCUUACCUAGACUUGACAUCUCCUGAAUAGUGUAGAGAUACAUGAAGCCCUUCGGGGCGAGGAAGACAGGUGGUGCAUGGUUGUCGUCAGCUCGUGUCGUGAGAUGUUGGGUUAAGUCCCGCAACGAGCGCAACCCUUAUUACUAGUUGCUACCA
Molecule: ribosomal RNA, 354 nt
Filed under: uncultured bacterium
Lineage: Bacteria
Description: bacterial SSU rRNA
Rfam family: Bacterial small subunit ribosomal RNA
Source: RNAcentral